This 468-nucleotide ribosomal RNA is filed under the name uncultured bacterium. Its description in RNAcentral is "partial 16S ribosomal RNA". It matches the Rfam family "Bacterial small subunit ribosomal RNA", at positions 28 to 507 of the family's 1533-position model. The record is from RNAcentral.
GACGAACGCUGGCGGCGUGCUUAACACAUGCAAGUCGAACGGAAAGGCCCUGCUUUUGUGGGGUGCUCGAGUGGCGAACGGGUGAGUAACACGUGAGUAACCUGCCCUUGACUUUGGGAUAACUUCAGGAAACUGGGGCUAAUACCGGAUAGGAGCUCCUGCUGCAUGGUGGGGGUUGGAAAGUUUCGGCGGUUGGGGCUGGACUCGCGGCUUAUCAGCUUGUUGGUGGGGUAGUGGCUUACCAAGGCUUUGACGGGUAGCCGGCCUGAGAGGGUUACCGGCCACAUUGGGACUGAGAUACGGCCCAGACGCCUACGGGAGGCAGCAGGCGGGAAUAUUGCACAGUGGGCGGAAGCCUGAUGCAGCGACGCCGCGUGCGUGAUAACGGCCUUCGGGUUGUAAACCGCUGUCGCCUGUGACGAAGCGUGAGUGACGGUAAUGGGUAAAGAAGCACCGGCUAACUACGUG